This 340-nucleotide ribosomal RNA is filed under the name uncultured Bacillota bacterium. RNAcentral's name for it is "bacterial SSU rRNA". It matches the Rfam family "Bacterial small subunit ribosomal RNA", at positions 28 to 351 of the family's 1533-position model. Lineage: Bacteria; Bacillati; Bacillota. The record is from RNAcentral.
GACGAACGCUGGCGGCGUGCCUAACACAUGCAAGUCGAACGAAGCUCUAAACCUUAAGAUUCGUCGAGAGGUGAGGAUGACUUAGUGGCGGACGGGUGAGUAACGCGUGAGCAACCUGCCCCUCGGAGCGGGACAACAGUUGGAAACGACUGCUAAUACCGCAUAAUGUAUUAUGAUGACAUCAUCUAAAUACCAAAGAUUUAUCGCCGAAGGAUGGGCUCACGUCUGAUUAGCUAGUUGGUGAGGUAACGGCUCACCAAGGCUGCGAUCAGUAGCCGGACUGAGAGGUUGAACGGCCACAUUGGGACUGAGAUACGGCCCAGACUCCUACGGGAGGCAG